ACCAAACCUAUGACGGAGAGAAGUAGCAUCCGCGGCCAAGGCAAAGCGAGUCCCGGACAGUGUGAGCGGGAUACAAGGCGGGGUGUGAAUGGACUUCGGAGGGCGGCUUGAACGGAGUAAUCCCAGUAGAUGCCGACGGGUUCCCACCCGUUAUCCAUCGGGCACGUGUGAUGGCACGUGAAACGAGUGGGCGUCUUCGGACGUCAAUUUGGGUGGUAUCGCAGAAGCUGACGCUUUUGUCCCAGAA
Molecule: non-coding RNA, 247 nt
Filed under: uncultured Eubacteriales bacterium
Lineage: Bacteria; Bacillati; Bacillota; Clostridia; Eubacteriales
Description: uncultured Clostridiales bacterium T-box
Rfam family: T-box leader
About the family: Uncharged tRNA acts as the effector for transcription antitermination of genes in the T-box leader family. T-boxes are found upstream of many aminoacyl-tRNA synthetase genes and some amino acid biosynthetic genes usually in Gram-positive bacteria. The anticodon of a specific tRNA base pairs to a specifier sequence within the T-box motif, and the NCCA acceptor tail of the tRNA base pairs to a conserved bulge in the T-box antiterminator hairpin.
Source: RNAcentral